AAAAAAAAAAGGCUGAGAUGUGUCUCAGUGGGUAAGUGCCCUUUAGUUUAAUCCCUGGUACCCCCCCCCCCAAAAAAAAAAAAAAGAAAAGGAAAGAAAGAAAAAUUAAUGUCCUCAGAGAAGUGUGUGCCUCUGUGGGAACUGGAAUCAGGUAUUGGCGCCCACCUGUGGCUUCAGUUGUGCACAAGCAGUAACUCUUCCUAUAUUCUCUUUAAGGAGAGUAAACAACUUCUGUUAAAAGGAAAAGCUUUAAACACAGCAUUUUGAAAGAAAGAACCAAGUUUAUUUGGACAGGGCCAAACAAAAAUAUUUUAAUGAAUAUAAUCUUAUUACCUUCUGUAUUCAUAUUCUAUUGUGUAUUCCAAGAAGUAAAUUAGCUAGCAUUUGGAUUUCUUGUUAGUGAGAAUAGUGUGACUACCAAGCAUGUAGCUUUGCCUUACUGAUUGCAUAUUGCAAACCGUGAUGGGUUUUAUGAUGGAGGUGUGGGGAGAUGUAUGAGAAAGUAGGAUUUUUGGUAACCAUGUCUAUACCUUAUGCUUCCUUUAUUUGGAUUGUUGAAGACCAAAACUAUAAUGAAAACUAUUUUAAAUGAUGUACAUUGCAGCUAGAUAUUAUCUUAUCAUUUGGAGAGAAUCCUGAGGGAUCAUACAUGUAAAUAAUGAGAAAAGUUCUUAAAAAAAGGAAUAGUGUUGUUUUUGUAGCUGUCAAUAUUCCUUAUAAUGGAAUAGAAAAAUGUCACUUUUUCAUAUUUAAAAAUAUAAAAUCCUAUUUGAGAUAGGGUUUAGUUUUUUUUCUCCUUCACAAAAUAUAUGUGAACAAUUUUAACACAAAAG
This 833-nucleotide long non-coding RNA is filed under the name Marmota monax (woodchuck). Lineage: Eukaryota; Metazoa; Chordata; Mammalia; Rodentia; Sciuridae. The record is from RNAcentral.